GUCCCUGUAAGCAUCACAUUGCUGGAGGAAAAUCUCAUGCCAGAGCUUGGACCAUCCCUAGCUCAGGGGUUAGGGGUUGUCCCUUGGUGACCUAAAUGAAAAAACAGGUCCAGAACAGAGUUCCUGAUGCUGGACACUCAUUCAGUCUUUGAAUCGUGGGAGGGGAGGCCUGGUACUAGGUAGACCUAACCUCUUUGAGGAACCACAGAGCCCAAGGCUGGAAACCUCCAGAAUCCUCCACCCCCUGAUCCUCCCUGGGGACCCCUGUGGCCUGUCUCACUGAGCACUCUUCCAUCUGUAGAUGUCUGGGCUGCUGUACAAGGGAGUCCCCUUUCAGGUGUGGUGCUAGACAUGGUCACUCCUGCUGGAUGUCUAGGUGGUAGAAACCAAGGACCUAGGGAAAUACCAGGUACAGCCUUUCCAUGCUCAUCCAGAGCAGGACAAACAGGCCAGGCGGUGUCAGGAGCCCAGGUCUCCAGCUGGAGGGAACGUCAACCCUUCGGUGGGAGCAGGGGCCCUUUGCACAUCCUAGGCACAGAUGGUAAUGUAGACACCACAGGUAAGCUGGGCUUGGUACCUACCCCUCCCCGGAUUCAGAAAGAAACCAAACAAGGAGCUUUGUGCGGAAUGAAACCUCCUUUCCUCCCAGAAGCACUGCUGACUGUUUGGUGGUUGCCAUUUGUGGCAGUGAGCCUUUGUUUGUUCUGAGGUUGGGCUGGUUUCUCCUCUUGGCCCUGCCCUACAGAUCAUAAAGGAGAAGAGCAAGAGGUCCCCAGCAAACAUCCACAGAUGGCCUUGGAAAUAAGUCACCUUCCUCACCCUGCAGGAAUGCCAGUGAACUUAUUGCUGACAUCUUGGAGCUCAGUACCCUCAUAGUGUAACGGCGUCAGCAGAUCUGCCUGUGCUGGGACUUCCUGUACUACCCAUUCCUGAGGGGCAAUGCUUCUGCAGGGCCUGUGACUUGGUGCACAACUUCAGACACCAUCAUCUUGCAGCAGCACCGCACCCUCACUAGCCAGGGUGUUGAUGACUUCCUCAAGGCCAAGGCCACAUUCAAGGCUUCGGACUUCAUUGAUGCGCUUGUGCUGAGCAAGGUGGCUUCUCCGGGAUCUUAAUUCAGGAGGUAGAAUGGAGCUUGAGAUCAAGUGUCUGAUCAAGCCUCAGUGUAUGGGCGCUGUUCAUCCUCUGGUGCUGAAGCAGCCAAGAGACCCAAGUCUGCCUGGCUGCCUCUUAGGAUAUGACAGCAGAGCCAGUGGCCUCUACUAGAUCCUGUACAACCUCACAAAACACCCAGACAUCGGGAGUGCUGCCAGCCUGUGAUGCAAGAGUCCUAAUCCUGAAGACAUUGAAUGGAUCAUGAGGAUCAGAGAGGAAAAGUCACUUGCCCAAAGUCACACAGCUGAACAGUGGUGGAGUUCAACUUUGACCGUGGGCUGUCUGGCCCCAAGGUGUAUGCUUGCUUCUCUCCCAAGAGACAACUUUCUUAUCAGGCUCAAAUGAAUGAAAGGAGGAUGUUAAAGUUCCUAGAAGCUUUAAUUGAAUGAAAGUUCCUAGUAGAUCUGUACCUACUAAAAACCACACUUCUGAAGCUACGUGGCCACCAGAAGACACAGCUAGUCUGCCAUGUAAAAAAGGAAAGGUGGCGUGUGCCCUGAAGGUGCAGGGGUGAGAGCAGGGAAAUGGAGACCCCAACAGCCAGCAGCAGUGGCCCUCAUCACAGCCCUCCAGGAGAUAUCAAAGGAGGUCAGACCUUGGACAGUAGUCUUGACUUCCUGCUAUAGAACACAUUGUUAACACUGAAAAAGAUGAUCUGUUCUAGGGGAAUGGUGAAAGCUGACUCUAGCACUUGUACUUUUUGUUUGUUUGUUUGAGAUUGAGUCUUGCUCUUGUUUCCCAGGCUGGAGUGCAAUGGGUGAUCUCAGCUCACUGCAGGCUCUGCCUCCUGGGUUCCAGCUAUUGUCCUGCCUCAGCCUCCCGAGUAGCUGGGAUUCCAGGUGCCCGCAAGUGUGCCUGGCUAAUUUUUAUGUUUUUAGUAGAGAUGGGAUUUCGCCAUGUUGGCCAGGCUGUUCUCCAACUCCUGACCUUGGCCAAAGUGUUGGGAUUACAGGCAUAAGCCAUUGUGCCCGGCCUGUGUUUUUAAUUUCAUCGUGGCACAGCUUCAAAAUGACAUCUAAGUAGCUGACAUAAAAAUGAAAAUUCUGUGUACUUUGAUAUUAGCAGGCUUCAAAUACAAACCAGAAUAUGAGUAAA
This is a long non-coding RNA of Homo sapiens (human), 2250 nucleotides long. Ensembl annotates it as cytochrome P450 family 4 subfamily F member 30, pseudogene. Its record names the gene CYP4F30P. Lineage: Eukaryota; Metazoa; Chordata; Mammalia; Primates; Hominidae. The record is from Ensembl.